CUCUGCGUGCGCCGGAGGCUGCCAUGGUGGGUGGGCGGCUUGACUUCUCCUCCCGGCCCCUUCUCGAGCGCCUCGCCGGGCCUCGCCCUGCAGCCUCGCUCUCGCUGGCGCUGCGCGGCCUAGGGGACUGGGCUGCUGGCCUCCGGGUGCGGGGUGGGGGCAGGCUCUGACCUGGGGCGUCCUGGCCGCGCGAGCCGCGGGAUGGGGGCCCGGGCCGCGGAGGAGGCGCCGCUGCUGUGUCUCUUGGUGGAGAGGGCGCUGCCGGCCCUGCGCGGUUUCCAGCCAGGAAGCUUCGGGAAGCCUGGACGUCUGCUCACUGGAGAUGACACGUGCGUGGGGUGUUGGCAUUCUUGUUAUUCAACACAGGAAGGAGGUGACUUCGCCUGUGAUGGACUUCCAGUGUGAGCACUGGCCAGAGUGACCAGGCCGACCAGCACCAGCCCUGAUCCAGAUGCAGAGGCCAGGAUGUGGGCCCAGCCCUGUGCCAGGAGGCUGGCUGGAAUAAAGGGAUGGGCAGGCUGGCAUGGGGGCACCCGCUGCCCCUGCCUGGGUGUUGCUGUGUAUUCCUGCCGGCCAGGGGCCACUGCCAGGACCACGCCUCCCUUUUCAUAUCCCGAUUCUUAAGUUCUGCUAUUGUGGUAUUCUGGUGGGAAAAAAAGAACCGCUUGGCUGUUUUUGAACUGCCUGGAACCUAAGAUCCUGAAUUUUUUCCCCCCCAAGGGGGAAAAUCUAUAUGGAAAACAUUUAUUUUAAAAUACAGGAUGAAGUGAAUUAAAAGAUUUAAAUGCA
RNAcentral lists this non-coding RNA (789 nucleotides) under Pan troglodytes (chimpanzee). Lineage: Eukaryota; Metazoa; Chordata; Mammalia; Primates; Hominidae. The record is from RNAcentral.